GGUCUGGGUCCCAGGGUCCACCUUCAUGUUCCACCAAUGAGUUUGUUCACAGGGGGUGGAGUGUGUAGGGGAUGUCCUGAUAUGUGUGUAAGGAAUACAUUGUGUGAAAUUGUGUUUGUAUGUGUAAGGGCUGCAAGGUGUGUUUCUGUGUAUGUAUGGGAUGCAUUGAAUGUGUGUAAGGGGUGCAUUAAGUGUGUGUAAUGAAUGCAUUGUGUGUUUCUGU
Molecule: non-coding RNA, 223 nt
Organism: Pelobates cultripes (western spadefoot toad)
Lineage: Eukaryota; Metazoa; Chordata; Amphibia; Anura; Pelobatidae
Source: the annotation of a GenBank genome assembly